GGGUUGUGAGGUUAAGCGACUAAGCGUACACGGUGGAUGCCCUGGCAGUCAGAGGCGAUGAAGGACGUGCUAAUCUGCGAUAAGCGCCGGUAAGGUGAUAUGAACCGUUAUAACCGGCGAUUUCCGAAUGGGGAAACCCAGUGUGAUUCGUCACACUAUCAUUAACUGAAUCCAUAGGUUAAUGAGGCGAACCGGGGGAACUGAAACAUCUAAGUACCCCGAGGAAAAGAAAUCAACCGAGAUUCCCCCAGUAGCGGCGAGCGAACGGGGAGGAGCCCAGAGCCUGAAUCAGCAUGUGUGUUAGUGGAAGCGUCUGGAAAGGCGCGCGAUACAGGGUGACAGCCCCGUACACAAAAGCGCAUGUGCUGUGAGCUCGAUGAGUAGGGCGGGACACGUGGUAUCCUGUCUGAAUAUGGGGGGACCAUCCUCCAAGGCUAAAUACUCCUGACUGACCGAUAGUGAACCAGUACCGUGAGGGAAAGGCGAAAAGAACCCCGGCGAGGGGAGUGAAAAAGAACCUGAAACCGUGUACGUACAAGCAGUGGGAGCACAGGUUUACCUGUGUGACUGCGUACCUUUUGUAUAAUGGGUCAGCGACUUAUAUUCUGUAGCAAGGUUAACCGAAUAGGGGAGCCGGAGGGAAACCGAGUCUUAAUUGGGCGUUAAGUUGCAGGGUAUAGACCCGAAACCCGGUGAUCUAGCCAUGGGCAGGUUGAAGGUUGGGUAACACUAACUGGAGGACCGAACCGACUAAUGUUGAAAAAUUAGCGGAUGACCUGUGGCUGGGGGUGAAAGGCCAAUCAAACCGGGAGAUAGCUGGUUCUCCCCGAAAGCUAUUUAGGUAGCGCCUCGUGAAUUCAUCUCCGGGGGUAGAGCACUGUUUCGGCUAGGGGGCCAUCCCGGCUUACCAACCCGAUGCAAACUGCGAAUACCGGAGAAUGUUAUCACGGGAGACACACGGCGGGUGCUAACGUCCGUCGUGAAGAGGGAAACAACCCAGACCGCCAGCUAAGGUCCCAAAGUCAUGGUUAAGUGGGAAACGAUGUGGGAAGGCCCAGACAGCCAGGAUGUUGGCUUAGAAGCAGCCAUCAUUUAAAGAAAGCGUAAUAGCUCACUGGUCGAGUCGGCCUGCGCGGAAGAUGUAACGGGGCUAAACCAUGCACCGAAGCUGCGGCAGCGAACGUAUCACCCAAGACAACUUUACGGAGUUGACGAUUGACGGAGCGAAGCGACGUCAAAGCGUUCAUUAAAGUCGAGUUGGCUUAGGGAUACGUUCGUUGGGUAGGGGAGCGUUCUGUAAGCCUGUGAAGGUGUGUCGUGAGGCAUGCUGGAGGUAUCAGAAGUGCGAAUGCUGACAUAAGUAACGAUAAAGCGGGUGAAAAGCCCGCUCGCCGGAAGACCAAGGGUUCCUGUCCAACGUUAAUCGGGGCAGGGUGAGUCGACCCCUAAGGCGAGGCCGAAAGGCGUAGUCGAUGGGAAACGGGUUAAUAUUCCCGUACUUGGUGUUACUGCGAAGGGGGGACGGAGAAGGCUAUGUUGGCCGGGCGACGGUUGUCCCGGUUUAAGCGUGUAGGUGUGUGUUCCAGGUAAAUCCGGUUCACUUUAACACUGAGGCGUGACGACGAGGCACUACGGUGCUGAAGCAACAAAUGCCCUGCUUCCAGGAAAAGCCUCUAAGCAUCAGGUAACACGAAAUCGUACCCCAAACCGACACAGGUGGUCAGGUAGAGAAUACCAAGGCGCUUGAGAGAACUCGGGUGAAGGAACUAGGCAAAAUGGUGCCGUAACUUCGGGAGAAGGCACGCUGACACGUAGGUGAAGUGAUUUACUCAUGGAGCUGAAGUCAGUCGAAGAUACCAGCUGGCUGCAACUGUUUAUUAAAAACACAGCACUGUGCAAACACGAAAGUGGACGUAUACGGUGUGACGCCUGCCCGGUGCCGGAAGGUUAAUUGAUGGGGUCAGCGUAAGCGAAGCUCCUGAUCGAAGCCCCGGUAAACGGCGGCCGUAACUAUAACGGUCCUAAGGUAGCGAAAUUCCUUGUCGGGUAAGUUCCGACCUGCACGAAUGGCGUAAUGAUGGCCAGGCUGUCUCCACCCGAGACUCAGUGAAAUUGAACUCGCUGUGAAGAUGCAGUGUACCCGCGGCAAGACGGAAAGACCCCGUGAACCUUUACUAUAGCUUGACACUGAACAUUGAGCCUUGAUGUGUAGGAUAGGUGGGAGGCUUUGAAGUGUGGACGCCAGUCUGCAUGGAGCCGACCUUGAAAUACCACCCUUUAAUGUUUGAUGUUCUAACGUGGACCCGUAAUCCGGGUUGCGGACAGUGUCUGGUGGGUAGUUUGACUGGGGCGGUCUCCUCCUAAAGAGUAACGGAGGAGCACGAAGGUUGGCUAAUCCUGGUCGGACAUCAGGAGGUUAGUGCAAUGGCAUAAGCCAGCUUGACUGCGAGCGUGACGGCGCGAGCAGGUGCGAAAGCAGGUCAUAGUGAUCCGGUGGUUCUGAAUGGAAGGGCCAUCGCUCAACGGAUAAAAGGUACUCCGGGGAUAACAGGCUGAUACCGCCCAAGAGUUCAUAUCGACGGCGGUGUUUGGCACCUCGAUGUCGGCUCAUCACAUCCUGGGGCUGAAGUAGGUCCCAAGGGUAUGGCUGUUCGCCAUUUAAAGUGGUACGCGAGCUGGGUUUAGAACGUCGUGAGACAGUUCGGUCCCUAUCUGCCGUGGGCGCUGGAGAACUGAGGGGGGCUGCUCCUAGUACGAGAGGACCGGAGUGGACGCAUCACUGGUGUUCGGGUUGUCAUGCCAAUGGCACUGCCCGGUAGCUAAAUGCGGAAGAGAUAAGUGCUGAAAGCAUCUAAGCACGAAACUUGCCCCGAGAUGAGUUCUCCCUGAGACUUAGAGUCUCCUGAAGGAACGUUGAAGACGACGACGUUGAUAGGCCGGGUGUGUAAGCGCAGCGAUGCGUUGAGCUAACCGGUACUAAUGAACCGUGAGGCUUAACCUUACAACGCCGAAG
RNAcentral lists this ribosomal RNA (3013 nucleotides) under Salmonella enterica subsp. enterica serovar 1,4,[5],12:i:-. Its description in RNAcentral is "23S ribosomal RNA". It matches the Rfam family "Bacterial large subunit ribosomal RNA". Lineage: Bacteria; Pseudomonadati; Pseudomonadota; Gammaproteobacteria; Enterobacterales; Enterobacteriaceae. The record is from RNAcentral.